UGAGUAACCUGCCCUUAACUCUGGGAUAAGCCUGGGAAACUGGGUCUAAUACCGGAUAUGACUCCUCAUCGCAUGGUGGGGGGUGGAAAGCUUUUUUUGUGGUUUUUGGAUGGACUCGCGGCCUAUCAGCUUGUUGGUGAGGUAAUGGCUCACCAAGGCGACGACGGGUAGCCGGCCUGAGAGGGUGACCGGCCACACUGGGACUGAGACACGGCCCAGACUCCUACGGGAGCAG
Molecule: ribosomal RNA, 235 nt
Filed under: uncultured bacterium
Lineage: Bacteria
Description: partial 16S ribosomal RNA
Rfam family: Bacterial small subunit ribosomal RNA
Source: RNAcentral